RNAcentral lists this ribosomal RNA (637 nucleotides) under uncultured bacterium. Its description in RNAcentral is "bacterial SSU rRNA". It matches the Rfam family "Bacterial small subunit ribosomal RNA", at positions 607 to 1244 of the family's 1533-position model. The record is from RNAcentral.
GCUCAACCGGGGAGGGUCAUUGGAAACUGGGGAACUUGGGUGCAGAAGAGGAGAGUGGAAUUCCACGUGUAGCGGUGAAAUGCGUAGAGAUGUGGAGGAACACCAGUGGCGAAGGCGACUCUCUGGUCUGUAACUGACGCUGAGGCGCGAAAGCGUGGGGAGCGAACAGGAUUAGAUACCCUGGUAGUCCACGCCGUAAACGAUGAGUGCUAAGUGUUAGAGGGUUUCCGCCCUUUAGUGCUGCAGCAAACGCAUUAAGCACUCCGCCUGGGGAGUACGGUCGCAAGACUGAAACUCAAAGGAAUUGACGGGGGCCCGCACAAGCGGUGGAGCAUGUGGUUUAAUUCGAAGCAACGCGAAGAACCUUACCAGGUCUUGACAUCCUCUGACAACCCUAGAGAUAGGGCUUCCCCUUCGGGGGCAGAGUGACAGGUGGUGCAUGGUUGUCGUCAGCUCGUGUCGUGAGAUGUUGGGUUAAGUCCCGCAACGAGCGCAACCCUUGAUCUUAGUUGCCAGCAUUCAGUUGGGCACUCUAAGGUGACUGCCGGUGACAAACCGGAGGAAGGUGGGGAUGACGUCAAAUCAUCAUGCCCCUUAUGACCUGGGCUACACACGUGCUACAAUGGGCAGAACAAAG